CUGAGCCAUGCAUGUCUCAGUACAAGCAUCCUUGUACCGUGAAACUGCGAAUGGCUCAUUACAACAGUUAUAGUUUAUUUGAUCGUGCGGAGCUACGUGGAUAACCGUAGGAAUUCUAGAGCUAAUACAUGCACCGUCGCCGAGGAUCUUUGGUUAGACUUCGGCGGGAUUUAUUAGAUCAAAAACCAAUCGUCUCUCCCGUUAUUUCGGAGAGAGGCGUGGUGGGAUGAAUCAUAAUAACUUUACCGAAUCGUAUGGCUUAAAUUAGGCCGACGAUAAAUCAUUCAAAUUUCUGCCCUAUCAACUUUCGAUGGUAGGGUAGUGGCCUACCAUGGUGUUGACGGGUGACGGAGAAUUAGGGUUCGAUUCCGGAGAGGGAGCCUGAGAAACGGCUACCACAUCCAAGGAAGGCAGCAGGCGCGCAAAUUACCCAAUCCUGAUUCAGGGAGGUAGCGACAAGAAAUAACGAUAGUGGGCUCGUUCGAGUCCGCGCAUCGGAAUGAGGAUAAUUUACACCCCCUCUCGAGGAUCCAUUGGAGGGCAAGCCUGGUGCCAGCAGCCGCGGUAAUUCCAGCUCCAAUAGCGUAUACUAAAGUUGUUGCAGUUAAAAAGCUCGUAGUCGAAUGAAGGUUUCUUGAAUUGCGCGGACUUCUAAGUGUAACUUAGAUUGGUUUGUGCACAAGAACCUCCCUUAUGUGUCUUUUUAGAUCCAAAUUUUUUGUUGGAUCUAAAAAGACACAUGCAUUACUGUGAACAAAAUAGAGUGUUCAUGGCAGGUCAAUUUAGGCUUGAAUACCUCA
RNAcentral lists this ribosomal RNA (800 nucleotides) under uncultured Cryptophyta. RNAcentral's name for it is "bacterial SSU rRNA". It matches the Rfam family "Eukaryotic small subunit ribosomal RNA", at positions 44 to 806 of the family's 1831-position model. Lineage: Eukaryota; Cryptophyceae. The record is from RNAcentral.